This 457-nucleotide ribosomal RNA is filed under the name uncultured bacterium. RNAcentral describes it as "partial 16S ribosomal RNA". It matches the Rfam family "Bacterial small subunit ribosomal RNA", at positions 355 to 828 of the family's 1533-position model. The record is from RNAcentral.
UGGGGAAUAUUGCACAAUGGGCGAAAGCCUGAUGCAGCAACGCCGCGUGAGUGACGAAGGUCUUCGGAUUGUAAAGCUCUGUCUUUUGGGACGAUAAUGACGGUACCAAAGGAGGAAGCCACGGCUAACUACGUGCCAGCAGCCGCGGUAAUACGUAGGUGGCGAGCGUUGUCCGGAUUUACUGGGCGUAAAGGGUGCGUAGGCGGAUGUUUAAGUGAGAUGUGAAAUACCCGGGCUUAACUUGGGUGCUGCAUUUCAAACUGGAUAUCUAGAGUGCAGGAGAGGAGAAUGGAAUUCCUAGUGUAGCGGUGAAAUGCGUAGAGAUUAGGAAGAACACCAGUGGCGAAGGCGAUUCUCUGGACUGUAACUGACGCUGAGGCACGAAAGCGUGGGUAGCAAACAGGAUUAGAUACCCUGGUAGUCCACGCCGUAAAACGAUGAGUACUAGGUGUAGGAG